This 497-nucleotide ribosomal RNA is filed under the name uncultured bacterium. RNAcentral's name for it is "partial 16S ribosomal RNA". It matches the Rfam family "Bacterial small subunit ribosomal RNA", at positions 28 to 507 of the family's 1533-position model. The record is from RNAcentral.
GACGAACGCUGGCGGCGUGCCUAAUACAUGCAAGUUGAGCGAUGAAGAUUGGUGCUUGCACCAAUUUGAAGAGCAGCGAACGGGUGAGUAACGCGUGGGGAAUCUGCCUUUGAGCGGGGGACAACAUUUGGAAACGAAUGCUAAUACCGCAUAACAACUUUAAACAUAAGUUUUAAGUUUGAAAGAUGCAAUUGCAUCACUCAAAGAUGAUCCCGCGUUGUAUUAGCUAGUUGGUGAGGUAAAGGCUCACCAAGGCGAUGAUACAUAGCCGACCUGAGAGGGUGAUCGGCCACAGUGGGACUGAGACACGGCCCAAACUCCUACGGGAGGCAGCAGUAGGGAAUCUUCGGCAAUGGACGAAAGUCUGACCGAGCAACGCCGCGUGAGUGAAGAAGGUUUUCGGAUCGUAAAACUCGGUUGGUAGAGAAGAACGUUGGUGAGAGUGGAAAGCUCAUCAAGUGACGGUAACUACCCAGAAAGGGACGGCUAACUACGUG